RNAcentral lists this ribosomal RNA (429 nucleotides) under Gemmatimonadota bacterium. RNAcentral describes it as "Gemmatimonadetes bacterium partial 16S ribosomal RNA". It matches the Rfam family "Bacterial small subunit ribosomal RNA", at positions 355 to 776 of the family's 1533-position model. The record is from RNAcentral. Lineage: Bacteria; Pseudomonadati; Gemmatimonadota.
UAGGGAAUCUUCGGCAAUGGACGAAAGUCUGACCGAGCAACGCCGCGUGAGUGAAGAAGGUUUUCGGAUCGUAAAACUCUGUUGUUAGAGAAGAACAAGGACGUUAGUAACUGAACGUCCCCUGACGGUAUCUAACCAGAAAGCCACGGCUAACUACGUGCCAGCAGCCGCGGUAAUACGUAGGUGGCAAGCGUUGUCCGGAUUUAUUGGGCGUAAAGCGAGCGCAGGCGGUUUCUUAAGUCUGAUGUGAAAGCCCCCGGCUCAACCGGGGAGGGUCAUUGAAAACUGGGAGACUUGAGUGCAGAAGAGGAGAGGGGAAUUCCAUGUGUAGCGGUGAAAUGCGUAGAUAUAUGGGGGAACACCAGUGGCGAAGGCGGCUCUCUGGUCUGUAUCUGACUCUGAGGCUCGAAAGCGUGGGGAGCAAACAGG